AUACUUACCUGAACGGGGUCAAUGGGCGAUCAAUAAGGCCCAUGGCCUAGGUUGGUGACCUCCAUUGCACUUUGGAGGGGUAGGUGCCCGCCUAAGGUCGGCCCAAGCGGUCGAGCCUACGUCAUAAUUGAGC
Molecule: small nuclear RNA, 133 nt
Filed under: Nicotiana sylvestris (wood tobacco)
Lineage: Eukaryota; Viridiplantae; Streptophyta; Magnoliopsida; Solanales; Solanaceae
Also listed under: 1 other name
Description: U1 spliceosomal RNA
Rfam family: U1 spliceosomal RNA
About the family: U1 is a small nuclear RNA (snRNA) component of the spliceosome (involved in pre-mRNA splicing).
Source: Rfam by way of RNAcentral